Molecule: ribosomal RNA, 261 nt
Filed under: uncultured bacterium
Lineage: Bacteria
Description: partial 16S ribosomal RNA
Rfam family: Bacterial small subunit ribosomal RNA
Source: RNAcentral
CGACCGGCGCACGGGUGCGUAACGCGUAUGCAACCUACCUGUAACAGGGGGAUAACACUGAGAAAUCGGUACUAAUACCGCAUAACACUAUGAGAGGCAUCUCUUGUGGUUGAAAGUUUCGGCGGUUACAGAUGGGCAUGCGUUGUAUUAGCUGGUUGGUAAGGUAACGGCUCACCAAGGCGACGAUACAUAGGGGGACUGAGAGGUCAACCCCCCACAUUGGUACUGAGACACGGACCAAACUCCUACGGAAGGCAGCAG